This 497-nucleotide ribosomal RNA is filed under the name uncultured bacterium. RNAcentral's name for it is "partial 16S ribosomal RNA". It matches the Rfam family "Bacterial small subunit ribosomal RNA", at positions 28 to 507 of the family's 1533-position model. The record is from RNAcentral.
GAUGAACGCUGGCGGCGUGCCUAAUAUAUGCAAGUCGAGCGAACAGACGAGGAGCUUGCUCCUCUGACGUUAGCGGCGGACGGGUGAGUAACACGUGUAUAACCUACCUAUAAGACUGGGAUAACUUCGGGAAACCGGCGCUUAUACCGUAUAAUAUAUUGAACCGCAUUGUUCAAUAGUGAAUUACGGCUUUGCUGUCACUUCUCGAUGGAUCCGCGCCGCAUUAGCUAGUUGGUAAGGUCACGGCUUACCAAGGCAACGAUGCGUAGACGACCUGAGGGAGGGAUAGGCCACACUGGAGCUGGGACAGGGUCAAGACUACUAAGAGAGGCAGCAGUAGGGAAUGUGCGGCAAUGGGCGAGAGCAUGACGGAGCGACGGCAAGUGAGUGAUGAAGGUCUUGGGAUCGUAAUAAUCUGUUAUUAGGGAAGAACAAAUGUGUAAGUAACUAUGCACGUCUUGACGGUAACUAGUCAGAAAGCAACGGCUAACUACGUG